UCCGGUUUGACACCGGCAGUCUCCCUAGAGUGCCCGGCAUAACCCGCUGGUAACUAGGGACGAGGGUUGCGCUCGUUGCGGGACUUAACCCAACAUCUCGCGACACGAGCUGACGACAGCCAUGCUGCACCUGCACUAGCUCCCCUUUCAGGGUCAUUGCCGUUUCCGGUUCUUACAACUAGCAUGUCAAGCCUGGGUAAGGUUUUUCGCGUUGCGUCGAAUUAAACCACAUGCUCCACCGCUUGUGCGGGCCCCCGUCAAUUCCUUUGAGUUUCAGCCUUGCGGCCGUACUCCCCAGGCGGGGUACUUACUGCGUUAGCGACGGCACCGAAGGGGUCGCUCCCCCCGACGCCUAGUACCCAUCGUUUACGGCGUGGACUAC
Molecule: unclassified non-coding RNA, 382 nt
Filed under: uncultured Gemmatimonadaceae bacterium
Lineage: Bacteria; Pseudomonadati; Gemmatimonadota; Gemmatimonadia; Gemmatimonadales; Gemmatimonadaceae
Description: contains 16S-23S intergenic spacer region
Source: RNAcentral